This 617-nucleotide ribosomal RNA is filed under the name Salmonella enterica subsp. enterica serovar Typhimurium. Its description in RNAcentral is "bacterial LSU rRNA". It matches the Rfam family "Bacterial large subunit ribosomal RNA", at positions 594 to 1212 of the family's 2925-position model. Lineage: Bacteria; Pseudomonadati; Pseudomonadota; Gammaproteobacteria; Enterobacterales; Enterobacteriaceae. The record is from RNAcentral.
UGACUGCGUACCUUUUGUAUAAUGGGUCAGCGACUUAUAUUCUGUAGCAAGGUUAACCGAAUAGGGGAGCCGGAGGGAAACCGAGUCUUAAUUGGGCGUUAAGUUGCAGGGUAUAGACCCGAAACCCGGUGAUCUAGCCAUGGGCAGGUUGAAGGUUGGGUAACACUAACUGGAGGACCGAACCGACUAAUGUUGAAAAAUUAGCGGAUGACCUGUGGCUGGGGGUGAAAGGCCAAUCAAACCGGGAGAUAGCUGGUUCUCCCCGAAAGCUAUUUAGGUAGCGCCUCGUGAAUUCAUCUCCGGGGGUAGAGCACUGUUUCGGCUAGGGGGCCAUCCCGGCUUACCAACCCGAUGCAAACUGCGAAUACCGGAGAAUGUUAUCACGGGAGACACACGGCGGGUGCUAACGUCCGUCGUGAAGAGGGAAACAACCCAGACCGCCAGCUAAGGUCCCAAAGUCAUGGUUAAGUGGGAAACGAUGUGGGAAGGCCCAGACAGCCAGGAUGUUGGCUUAGAAGCAGCCAUCAUUUAAAGAAAGCGUAAUAGCUCACUGGUCGAGUCGGCCUGCGCGGAAGAUGUAACGGGGCUAAACCAUGCACCGAAGCUGCGGCAGCGAA